UACGUAGGGUGCGAGCGUUGUCCGGAAUUAUUGGGCGUAAAGAGCUCGUAGGCGGUUUGUCGCGUCUGCUGUGAAAACUCGGGGCUUAACCCCGGGCCUGCAGUGGGUACGAGCAGACUAGAGUGCGGUAGGGGAGACUGGAAUUCCUGGUGUAGCGGUGAAAUGCGCAGAUAUCAGGAGGAACACCGGUGGCGAAGGCGGGUCUCUGGGCCGUAACUGACGCUGAGGAGCGAAAGCGUGGGGAGCGAACAGG
Molecule: ribosomal RNA, 253 nt
Filed under: uncultured bacterium
Lineage: Bacteria
Description: partial 16S ribosomal RNA
Rfam family: Bacterial small subunit ribosomal RNA
Source: RNAcentral